Molecule: ribosomal RNA, 405 nt
Filed under: uncultured bacterium
Lineage: Bacteria
Description: bacterial SSU rRNA
Rfam family: Bacterial small subunit ribosomal RNA
Source: RNAcentral
GGACCCGCACAAGCGGUGGAGCAUGUGGUUUAAUUCGAUGCAACGCGAAGAACCUUACCUGGUCUUGACAUCCUGCGAACUUUCUAGAAAUAGAUUGGUGCCUUCGGGAACGCAGUGACAGGUGCUGCAUGGCUGUCGUCAGCUCGUGUCGUGAGAUGUUGGGUUAAGUCCCGUAACGAGCGCAACCCCUAUCCUUAUUUGCCAGCACAUCAUGGUGGGAACUAUAAGGAGACUGCCGGUGAUAAACCGGAGGAAGGCGGGACGACGUCAAGUCAUCAUGGCCCUUACGACCAGGGCUACACACGUGCUACAAUGGGAAGGACAAAGAGCCGCGAAGCCGCGAGGUGUAGCUAAUCUCAUAAACUUAGCCCAAGUUCAGAUUGUAGGCUGCAACUCGCCUACAUG